GCACGGCUAACUCAGCGGGAGAGUGCCACCUUGACGUGGUGGAGGUCGAGGGUUCAAACCCCCCGCCGUGUA
Molecule: transfer RNA, 72 nt
Filed under: bacterium
Lineage: Bacteria
Also listed under: 4 other names
Description: tRNA-Val
Rfam family: tRNA
About the family: Transfer RNA (tRNA) molecules are approximately 80 nucleotides in length. Their secondary structure includes four short double-helical elements and three loops (D, anti-codon, and T loops). Further hydrogen bonds mediate the characteristic L-shaped molecular structure. tRNAs have two regions of fundamental functional importance: the anti-codon, which is responsible for specific mRNA codon recognition, and the 3' end, to which the tRNAs corresponding amino acid is attached (by aminoacyl-tRNA synthetases). tRNAs cope with the degeneracy of the genetic code in two manners: having more than one tRNA (with a specific anti-codon) for a particular amino acid; and 'wobble' base-pairing, i.e. permitting non-standard base-pairing at the 3rd anti-codon position.
Source: RNAcentral